UACGUAGGGUGCGAGCGUUAAUCGGAAUUACUGGGCGUAAAGCGUGCGCAGGCGGUUCGCAAAGUCUGAUGUGAAAGCCCCGGGCUCAACCUGGGAACUGCAUUGGAAACUAACGGGCUCGAGUGUGGCAGAGGGGGGUGGAAUUCCACGUGUAGCAGUGAAAUGCGUAGAUAUCUGGAGGAACACCGGUGGCGAAGGCGGCAUCCUGGACCAACACUGACACUGAGGAGCGAAAGCCAGGGGAGCAAACGGG
RNAcentral lists this ribosomal RNA (253 nucleotides) under uncultured bacterium. Its description in RNAcentral is "partial 16S ribosomal RNA". It matches the Rfam family "Bacterial small subunit ribosomal RNA", at positions 524 to 776 of the family's 1533-position model. The record is from RNAcentral.